This 1998-nucleotide ribosomal RNA is filed under the name human gut metagenome. Its description in RNAcentral is "bacterial LSU rRNA". It matches the Rfam family "Bacterial large subunit ribosomal RNA", at positions 222 to 2308 of the family's 2925-position model. The record is from RNAcentral.
AAAUCAACCGAGAUUCCGCUAGUAGUGGCGAGCGAACGCGGAAGAGGCCAAACCAAGAGUAGUAAUACUUUUGGGGUUUUGGACAGCGUACGGUAUUAACUGCGGUUAGUAGAAUGAAAUGGGAAGUUCAACCACAGAGCGUGAUAGUCGCGUACACGAAAACUAAAGUUAGCCAGCUGGAUCCAGAGUACCGCCGGACACGUGAAACCCGGUGGGAAGACGGGGGGACCACCCUCCAAGCCUAAAUACUCUCCAAUGACCGAUAGUGUAUAGUACUGUGAAGGAAAGGUGAAAAGAACCCCUGGCGGGGAGUGAAAUAGAACCUGAAACCUUGUGCCUACAAGCACAUAGAGCGCGUCAAUGCGUGAUAUGGUACCUUUUGUAGAAUGGUCCGGCGAGUGAAUGUCACUGGCGAGGUUAAGCUCUUCAGGAGUGCAGCCGAAGCGAAAGCGAGUCUGAAAUGGGCGUUUUUAGUCAGUGGUAUUCGACCCGAAACCGGGUGACCUAGCCAUGAGCAGGCUGAAGUGGAGGUAAAACUCCAUGGAGGGCCGAACCCACUCCCGUUGAAAUGGUAGGGGAUGACUUGUGGCUAGCGGAGAAAUUCCAAUCGAACCCGGAGAUAGCUGGUUCUCUCCGAAAUAGCUUUAGGGCUAGCCUCAAUUAACAUUACCGCAGGUAAAGCACUGAAUGAGCUAGGGGGCGAAAGCUUACUGAACUCUAUCAAACUCAGAAUGGCGGAUAAUGAAUGAUUGGGAGUCACACUACGUGAGAUAAGUUUCGUGGUGGAAAGGGAAACAGCCCAGACCCACAGCUAAGGUCCCAAAGUACAGUUAAGUGGAAAAGGAUGUGAAAUUGCGCAGACAACCAGGAUGUUGGCUCAGAAGCAGCCACUCAUUCAAAGAGUGCGUAAUAGCUCACUGGUCGAGUGAUUUUGCGCCGAAAAUUUAACGGGGCUAAACUGUACACCGAAGCUUGGGAAUAUACAUUUGUAUGUUGGUAGGAGAGCGUUGUGUAAGGGGUGAAGUCGUAGCGAAAGCGGCGGUGGACUUUACACAAGUGAGAAUGCCGGAAUGAGUAGCGAGAAUUAUGUGAGAAUCAUAAUGGCCGAAAGACUAAGGUUUUAGAAGGAAGGUUCGUCCGCUUCUAGUUAGCCGGGAGCUAAGGCGAGGCCGAGAGGCGUAGUCGAUGCACAUACGGUUGAGAUUCCGUAGCUACCUUGCAUUUAAGCGAAGGGACACAUUUGAAGGGCAUGACCCGGGCGUUGGUUGACCCGGGCGUAAGGGACCGAAAAUAAGUAGGGAAGCAUGCUUGGAUGGUGGCGAGAAAAGCUUCGUGUAUAUAAGCAGGGUACCCGUACUGCAAACCGACACAGGUAGUCAGGAAGAGGAUUCUAAGGCCAUCGGGAGAAGCGUUGUUAAGGAACUCGGCAAAUUGACCCCGUAACUUCGGAAUAAGGGGUGCUCACGCGAGUGAGCCGCAGUGAAUAGGUCCAGGCAACUGUUUAUCAAAAACACAGCUCUCUGCUAAAUCGUAAGAUGACGUAUAGGGGGUGACACCUGCCCGGUGCUGGAAGGUUAAGAGGAGGGGUGCAAGCUCCGAAUUGAAGCCCCAGUAAACGGCGGCCGUAACUAUAACGGUCCUAAGGUAGCGAAAUUCCUUGUCGGGUAAGUUCCGACCCGCACGAAUGGUGUAAUGAUCUGGACACUGUCUCAACAACGCACCCGGCGAAAUUGUAGUACCGGUGAAGAUGCCGGUUACCCGCGGCAAGACGGAAAGACCCCAUGGAGCUUCACUGUAGCCUGAUAUUGGGUCUCGGUAUUUUAUGUACAGGAUAGGCGGGAGACUUGGAAACCAGCACGCCAGUGUUGGCGGAGUCACCCUUGGGAUACCGCUCUUAAAGUAUUGAGAUUCUAACCUGCAGCCAUGAAUCUGGCUGGGGGACAUUGUCAGGUGGGCAGUUUGACUGGGGCGGUCGCCUCCAAAAGAGUAACGGAGGCG